UCUCCGGCCAUCCUUGGGGAGAGUCUGUCUGGCAUUAAGUUGUCGGGCAGAGGAUCCUCAUCGAUUACUGUGAAAAAAUUAGAGUGUUCAAAGCAGGAUUAUGCCGUUGAAUAUAUUAGCAUGGAAUAAUAAGAUAGGACUUUGGUACUAUUUUGUUGGUUUGCGCACCAAAGUAAUGAUUAAUAGGGACAGUUGGGGGUAUUCGUAUUCCGUUGUCAGAGGUGAAAUUCUUGGAUUUACGGAAGACGAACUACUGCGAAAGCAUUUACCAAGGAUGUUUUCAUUAAUCAAGAACGAAAGAUAGGGGAUCGAAGAUGAUCAGAUACCAUCGUAGUCUUAACCAUAAACUAUGCCGACUCGGGAUUGGCGGGCGUUUCUUUUUUGACCCCGUCAGCACCGUAUGUGAAAACAAAGUCUUUGGGCUCCGGGGGGAGUAUGGUCGCAAGGCUGAAACUUAAACAAAUUGACGGAAGGGCACCACCAGGAGUGGAACCUGCGGCUUAAUUUGACUCAACACGGUAAAACUUACCAGGGCCAGACA
This 541-nucleotide ribosomal RNA is filed under the name uncultured eukaryote. RNAcentral describes it as "SSU rRNA". It matches the Rfam family "Eukaryotic small subunit ribosomal RNA", at positions 688 to 1230 of the family's 1831-position model. The record is from RNAcentral.